ACGAACGCUGGCGGCGUGCCUAAUACAUGCAAGUAGAACGCUGAAGAGAGGAGCUUGCUCUUCUUGGAUGAGUUGCGAACGGGUGAGUAACGCGUAGGUAACCUGCCUUGUAGCGGGGGAUAACUAUUGGAAACGAUAGCUAAUACCGCAUAACAAUGGAUGACACAUGUCAUUUAUUUGAAAGGGGCAAUUGCUCCACUACAAGAUGGACCUGCGUUGUAUUAGCUAGUAGGUGAGGUAAUGGCUCACCUAGGCGACGAUACAUAGCCGACCUGAGAGGGUGAUCGGCCACACUGGGACUGAGACACGGCCCAGACUCCUACGGGAGGCAGCAGUAGGGAAUCUUCGGCAAUGGGGGCAACCCUGACCGAGCAACGCCGCGUGAGUGAAGAAGGUUUUCGGAUCGUAAAGCUCUGUUGUAAGUCAAGAACGGGUGUGAGGGUGGAAAGUUCACACUGUGACGGCAGCUUACCAGAAAGGGACGGCUAACUACGU
This 495-nucleotide ribosomal RNA is filed under the name uncultured bacterium. RNAcentral's name for it is "partial 16S ribosomal RNA". It matches the Rfam family "Bacterial small subunit ribosomal RNA", at positions 29 to 506 of the family's 1533-position model. The record is from RNAcentral.